ACGAACGCUGGCGGCAUGCCUAACACAUGCAAGUCGAACGAGACCUUCGGGUCUAGUGGCGCACGGGUGCGUAACGCGUGGGAACCCGCCUUGAGGUUCGGAAUAACUCCCCGAAAGGGGUGCUAAUACCGGAUAAUGUCUUCGGACCAAAGAUUUAUCGCCUUUAGAUGGGCCCGCGUUGGAUUAGCUAGUUGGUGGGGUAAAGGCCUACCAAGGCGACGAUCCAUAGCUGGUCUGAGAGGAUGAUCAGCCACACUGGGACUGAGACACGGCCCAGACUCCUACGGGAGGCAGCAGUGGGGAAUAUUGGACAAUGGGCGAAAGCCUGAUCCAGCAAUGCCGCGUGAGUGAUGAAGGCCUUAGGGUUGUAAAGCUCUUUUACCAGGGAUGAUAAUGACAGUACCUGGAGAAUAAGCUCCGGCUAACUCCGU
RNAcentral lists this ribosomal RNA (431 nucleotides) under uncultured bacterium. RNAcentral's name for it is "bacterial SSU rRNA". It matches the Rfam family "Bacterial small subunit ribosomal RNA", at positions 29 to 506 of the family's 1533-position model. The record is from RNAcentral.